CGAGGGCUAAGCCUGGUCACAGACAUCUCCGCAUUUGUUUCUCUGCAAAUGGGCUCCUUGCCCCCAGCUCCACCCCACGUAGAGAUAGGCACAAAUAGAGUUAAGAUGUGAGUUGAGUGAGCACACACUCCUCGUAAGCCACUUGUCAUUCCUAAACUACGACAUCUCAGGCUGCCAGCUGCACUGGGCUCCAGUCAGUGACACCUUACAGGCAUGGUUCUCUCCUGAGCUGGAUGGAUCAGCACCUAUCUUGUUUGAUUCCUCUCACAGGGUCUGGGGGUGGUGGCAUCUCCCCUAAAGGAAGUGGUCCCUCUGUGGCAAGUGAUGAAGUCUCCAGCUUUGCCUCAGCUCUCCCAGACAGAAAGACUGCGUCCUUUUCGUCGUUGGAACCCCAGGAUCAGGAGGAUUUGGAGCCCGUGAAGAAGAAAAUGAGAGGAGAUGGGGACCUUGACCUGAACGGGCAGUUGUUGGUCGCACAACCGCGUAGAAAUGCCCAAACCGUCCACGAGGACGUCAGAGCAGCGGCUGGGAAGCCAGACAAGAUGGAGGAGACGCUGACAUGCAUCAUCUGCCAGGACCUGCUGCAC
RNAcentral lists this long non-coding RNA (587 nucleotides) under Homo sapiens (human). RNAcentral describes it as "non-protein coding lnc-GOLGA3-5:1". Lineage: Eukaryota; Metazoa; Chordata; Mammalia; Primates; Hominidae. The record is from RNAcentral.